RNAcentral lists this ribosomal RNA (446 nucleotides) under uncultured bacterium. Its description in RNAcentral is "bacterial SSU rRNA". It matches the Rfam family "Bacterial small subunit ribosomal RNA", at positions 329 to 792 of the family's 1533-position model. The record is from RNAcentral.
UUCCAGACUCCUACGGGAGGCAGCAGUGGGGAAUAUUGCACAAUGGGGGAAACCCUGAUGCAGCGACGCCGCGUGAAGGAAGAAGUAUUUCGGUAUGUAAACUUCUAUCAGCAGGGAAGAAAAUGACGGUACCUGACUAAGAAGCCCCGGCUAACUACGUGCCAGCAGUCGCGGUAAUACGUAGGGGGCAAGCGUUAUCCGGAUUUACUGGGUGUAAAGGGAGCGUAGGCGGCGAUGCAAGUCAGAAGUGAAAGCCCGGGGCUCAACUCCGGGACUGCUUUUGAAACUGUGUUGCUAGAUUGCAGGAGAGGUAAGCGGAAUUCCUAGUGUAGCGGUGAAAUGCGUAGAUAUUAGGAGGAACACCAGUGGCGAAGGCGGCUUACUGGACUGUAACUGACGUUGAGGCUCGAAAGCGUGGGGAGCAAACAGGAUUAGAUACCCCCGUA